This 730-nucleotide long non-coding RNA is filed under the name Mytilus galloprovincialis (Mediterranean mussel). Lineage: Eukaryota; Metazoa; Mollusca; Bivalvia; Mytilida; Mytilidae. The record is from RNAcentral.
CUUUACAAGUGGAAAAAUUGAAGAAUUUUUUAUACGACCGCAAAAAUUGAAAAUUUUUUGGUCGUAUAUUGGUAUCAUGUUGGCGUCGUCUGCGUCGUCGUCGUCGUCCGAAUACUUUUAGUUUUUGCACUCUAACUUUAGCAAAAGUGAAUAGAAAUCUAUGAAAUUUUAACACAAGGUUUAUGACCACAAAAGGAAGGUUGGGAUUGAUUUUGGGAGUUUUGGUCCCAACAUUUUAGGAAUUAGGGGCCAAAAAGGGCCCAAAUAAGCAUUUUUCUUGGUUUUCGCACUAUAACUUUAGUUUAAGUAAAUAGAAAUCUAUGAAAUUUUGACACAAGGUUUAUGACCACAAAAGGAAGGUUGGGAUUGAUUUUGGGAGUUUUGUUCCCAACAGUUUAGGAAUUAGGGGCCAAAAAAGGGCCCAAAUAAGCAUUAUUCUUGGUUUUCGCACAAUAACUUUAGUAUAAGUAAAUAGAAAUCAAUGAAAUUUAAACACAAGGUUUAUGACCACAAAAGGAAGGUUGGGAUUGAUUUUGGGAGUUGGGGUCCCAACAGUUUAGGAAUUAGGGGCCAAAAAGGGCCCAAAUAAGCAUUUUCUUGGUUUUCGCAAUAUAACUUUAGUACAAGUAAAUGGAAAUCUAUGAAAUUUAAACACAAGGUUUAUGACCAUAAAAGGAAGGUUGGGUUUGAUUUUGGGAGUUUUGGUCCCAACAGUUUAGGAAUAAGGGGC